RNAcentral lists this non-coding RNA (201 nucleotides) under unclassified sequences. RNAcentral describes it as "Cyano-2 RNA". It matches the Rfam family "Cyano-2 RNA". The record is from RNAcentral. RNAcentral also lists the same sequence under 1 other name.
GACGGUCACGGGAGAGCGAUCCGAGGGCCGGCAGAACCCCGUCUCCCGUGCGAGCGAUCGCGGGAGACAACGUUCUGCGCUGUUUAAAUCUGAAGAAAACUAGUGCGUAUGGCCCAUCUGGGAACGGGUGAACGAGCUUUACCUUUCAGUUUCCGCAUCGCUCGGGAAGGGCAACCUCUUCUCGCGGUCUCCGCAGUCCUU